This is a long non-coding RNA of Sipha flava (yellow sugarcane aphid), 396 nucleotides long. RefSeq lists it as uncharacterized. The transcript is spliced from 3 exons. The record is from RefSeq and is a predicted model, not a curated record. NCBI's taxonomy places the organism in Eukaryota, Metazoa, Arthropoda, Insecta, Hemiptera, Aphididae.
AUGAUUAACAUAUGUUUGGACGGGACCUUAGAGUCUGAUCAUUCUACGUCGGCGACGACUCCCGAUACUUUACCAGUGACUAUUUUAGUAUAGAAGUUUGUUUAUUUUAAUCAUCGUUUUCGAUAAUAAUUUGUUUUUUUUUUUUGACGGGUCAAACUUUAUGCGGCUAAAGUGAUAGUUUUAAAAUCAUCACGCAUUUCCAAUGUCUCCGUCGGCAACAUUAACUCGGAAAUAUUCAACUAUUAUACGCAGACACGUAGAAGUAUUGAACAACAAAAUUAAAUUAACAUACUGAGAACACAUUUUAAGCUUGCCGUCCGUGACCACCCAGCUCUUCGUUGUGAACGCCAACAGGACCAAAAACGCUCCCAACACCGACAGGCCGACGGCCGUCAG